UCUGCAGAGGCCUGGGCCCUGGCAGGGAGGGGAGGGCAAGGUGGGGCCAAAGGAAGCAACCAGAAGAGAGGAAGCUAGCUCUUUCAGGGGGUCCCACUGGAAACAGGGGGCUGCAGAGGCGCUGACUCUGAGACCCUCCAACUGCAGGACCAUCCUGGUGACCCUCAAGAGGGUGACUGGACGGGGAUUUGAACUGCAGCUGCUACACAGGACCAGCUUCUCCUGAACAGCAUACUACCCCUACACCAUGGAGCCAGCCCUGCUGAAGAGGCUGUGUGACAGCAAGUUGAAGUAAGAGCUGUGAUCGUCUCUUCAAUCAGAACGCGUCCAUCUACAAGACUGCAUUUCUCAGCCUCACUUGCAGCUAAGAAUGGCCAAGGAGAUACGAACAGAAAUCACAGGGGGGAAGCUGAGUCGGCUGCUAGGCCUCCCCUUUCACAUGUUCCCUCCUUCUUCCUACCUGGAACAUGUUACAAUGGUUGAGCCUCAGCAGCCAUUCGCUGACCUUGAGACAAAACGCGCGAAAGCGGGAUUCCCGAUUCUUGUAUGACGAAAUCACCUGUCUUGCUUUGUUUUGUUUUUUAAUACUGAUGUCUGCUUCCUAC
Tupaia belangeri chinensis (Chinese tree shrew) is the source of this 605-nucleotide long non-coding RNA. RefSeq lists it as uncharacterized. NCBI's taxonomy places the organism in Eukaryota, Metazoa, Chordata, Mammalia, Scandentia, Tupaiidae. The transcript is spliced from 3 exons. The record is from RefSeq and is a predicted model, not a curated record.